Molecule: non-coding RNA, 786 nt
Organism: Antechinus flavipes (yellow-footed antechinus)
Lineage: Eukaryota; Metazoa; Chordata; Mammalia; Dasyuromorphia; Dasyuridae
Source: the annotation of a RefSeq genome assembly
UCAUAACCACACAUACAGAGCUAAAAGUAUUCUGAAUGUAAUUAUAGUCUAUCGUUUCUUCCCCUUUUCUAGGAGAUGCUCCAGCUCCCCCUGGGAAGACUAGUUCUAUUACAAGGCUUUAGAAGAUGGAUCCUCUGCGUUAAGCUAAGAGCUCCCCUGAUCUCAGUCAUUUUUCUAUUCCACUCUCCAGCAGCCAGAGUUCUGUUCCAAGAAGCCCCUUCCUUGCUGCUCUGAUUAAACCAUGAACAAUAGGCUUCUUUGGGGUGUGAUUAUUUGUUUCCUGAGACCAGGUCUCCUGGAUGGCAAAGAUACUGGAAUCACCCAAACCCCAAGAAAUCUAAUCACAAGAAUAAGGCAGAUUGUGACACUGAAAUGUAAACAGAAUUUGGGACACGAAACCAUGUACUGGUAUCGUCAGGACCUGGGCCAGGAGCUUAAGCUCAUUUAUUUCUCAAUGACACGAGGUGAUAUUCAGAAAGGAGACAUUCCCAAAGGAUACAAUGUCACACGGAAAGAAAAAGAGAUAUUUGCUCUCCUCAUGCCCUCAGCCAGCACCAAACAAACAUCUUUUUAUCUCUGUGCCUCCAGUCAAUACACAGUAAAGCAAAGUUAACUCUUCUCCACACAGAAACCUCCUUCAUCCCUCACUGCAACCCUGAGGGGCAGAAUCUUCCUGUCAUUUAUUACCCUUCUCCCAAUACAGGAAGCUAUUAUUGCUGUGAGAAAACUAUGAAUGAAAUGACCUUCAUACCAUUUGUCACAUUCUUGCAUGAACUGCAAUUUUUA